GGGCCCGUGGCGUAGCCAGGAAGCGUGGCGGCCUCCGGAGCCGCAGAGCCCGUGCGGGCGUAGCGGAAGCCCCGGGUUCAAAUCCCGGCGGGCCCG
Molecule: transfer RNA, 96 nt
Filed under: Thermofilum pendens Hrk 5
Lineage: Archaea; Thermoproteati; Thermoproteota; Thermoprotei; Thermofilales; Thermofilaceae
Rfam family: tRNA
About the family: Transfer RNA (tRNA) molecules are approximately 80 nucleotides in length. Their secondary structure includes four short double-helical elements and three loops (D, anti-codon, and T loops).
Source: Rfam by way of RNAcentral